This 440-nucleotide ribosomal RNA is filed under the name uncultured bacterium. RNAcentral describes it as "partial 16S ribosomal RNA". It matches the Rfam family "Bacterial small subunit ribosomal RNA", at positions 338 to 795 of the family's 1533-position model. The record is from RNAcentral.
CCUACGGGAGGCUGCAGUGGGGAAUAUUGCACAAUGGGGGAAACCCUGAUGCAGCGACGCCGCGUGAGUGAAGAAGUAUUUCGGUACGUAAAGCUCUAUCAGCAGGGAAGAAAAUGACGGUACCUGACUAAGAAGCACCGGCUAACUACGUGCCAGCAGCCGCGGUAAUACGUAGGGGGCAAGCGUUAUCCGGAUUUACUGGGUGUAAAGGGAGCGUAGACGGCAGCGCAAGUCUGGAGUGAAAUCCCAUGGCUUAAACAUGGAACUGCUUUGGAAACUGUGCAGCUAGAGUGCAGGAGAGGUAAGCGGAAUUCCUAGUGUAGCGGUGAAAUGCGUAGAUAUUAGGAGGAACGCCAGUGGCGAAGGCGGCUUACUGGACUGUAACUGACGUUGAGGCUCGAAAGCGUGGGGAGCAAACAGGAUUAGAUACCCCUGUAGUC